Molecule: ribosomal RNA, 16 nt
Filed under: Dendrobium thyrsiflorum
Lineage: Eukaryota; Viridiplantae; Streptophyta; Magnoliopsida; Asparagales; Orchidaceae
Description: partial 18S ribosomal RNA
Source: RNAcentral
GGUCAGGGGAGGAGAG